GCUUGUCUCAAAGAUUAAGCCAUGCAUGUCUAAGUACAAGCCUCAGUAAGGUGAAACCGCGAAUGGCUCAUUAAAUCACACCUAAUCUACUGGAAAGUUACUAGUUACUUGGAUAACUGAGGUAAUUCUUGAGCUAAUACAUGCAAAAAAACCCAGACUUACGAAUGGGUGCACUUAUUAGAUAAAGCCAACGCUGGGUAAAACCAGUUUCCCUUGGUGAUUCAUAAUAAUUAAGCGGAUCGCAUGGCCUUGUGCUAGCGACAGUCCACUCGAUUUUCUGCCCUAUCAUGGUUGAGAUUGUAAGAUAGAGGCUUACAAUGCCUACAACGGGUAACGGGGAAUUAGGGUUCGAUUCCGGAGAGGGAGCCUGAGAAACGGCUACCACAUCCAAGGAAGGCAGCAGG
This 404-nucleotide ribosomal RNA is filed under the name uncultured Mucor. Its description in RNAcentral is "partial small subunit ribosomal RNA". It matches the Rfam family "Eukaryotic small subunit ribosomal RNA", at positions 30 to 432 of the family's 1831-position model. The record is from RNAcentral. Lineage: Eukaryota; Fungi; Mucoromycota; Mucoromycetes; Mucorales; Mucoraceae.